UACGGAGGGAGCUAGCGUUGUUCGGAAUUACUGGGCGUAAAGGGCGCGUAGGCGGUUGUGUAAGUCAGAUGUGAAAACCAUCGGCUCAACCGAUCGGCAUGCAUUUGAUACUGCACGACUUGAGUUCAGUAGAGGAGAGCGGAAUUCCCAGUGUAGCGGUGGAAUGCGUAGAUAUUGGGAAGAACACCAGUGGCGAAGGCGGCUCUCUGGACUGAUACUGACGCUGAUGCGCGAAAGCUAGGGGAGCGAACAGG
This 254-nucleotide ribosomal RNA is filed under the name uncultured bacterium. RNAcentral describes it as "partial 16S ribosomal RNA". It matches the Rfam family "Bacterial small subunit ribosomal RNA", at positions 524 to 776 of the family's 1533-position model. The record is from RNAcentral.